UACGUAGGGUGCGAGCGUUGUCCGGAAUUAUUGGGCGUAAAGAGCUUGUAGGCGGUUUGUCGCGUCUGCUGUGAAAAUCCGGGGCUCAACCCCGGACUUGCAGUGGGUACGGGCAGGCUAGAGUUCGGUAGGGGAGACUGGAAUUCCUGAUGUAGCGGUGAAAUGCGCAGAUAUCAGGAGGAACACCGGUGGCGAAGGCGGGUCUCUGGGCCGAUACUGACGCUGAGGAGCGAAAGCGUGGGGAGCGAACAGG
Molecule: ribosomal RNA, 253 nt
Filed under: uncultured bacterium
Lineage: Bacteria
Description: partial 16S ribosomal RNA
Rfam family: Bacterial small subunit ribosomal RNA
Source: RNAcentral